Molecule: microRNA precursor, 68 nt
Filed under: Podarcis lilfordi (Lilford's wall lizard)
Lineage: Eukaryota; Metazoa; Chordata; Lepidosauria; Squamata; Lacertidae
Source: RNAcentral
UGUAUAUAUAUGUGUGUGUGUAUGUGUGUGUAUACACACACACACACACACACACACAUAUACAUACA